GAGAUGUGGGUAGUCCGCACGAGCGCACCUCACUUUUAGUUGCCAUCAUUAAGUUGGGCACUCUGAAAGAACUGCCAGUGAUAAGCUGGAGGAAGGUGGGGAUGACGUCAAGUCCUCAUGGCCCUUACGUGUUGGGCUACACACGUGCUACAAUGGCAUCUACAACAGGAAGCAAAACGGCAACGUUAAGCAAAUCCCGAAAAGAUGCCUCAGUUCGGAUUGCACUCUGCAACUCGAGUGCAUGAAGCUGGAAUUACUAGUAAUCGUGGAUCAGCGUGCCACGGUGAAUGCGUUCCCGGGUCUUGUACACACCGCCCGUCACACCAUGGGAGUUGGUUCUACCUUAAGGCAAGGUUUUAAACCCUUGACCACGGUAUAGUCAGCGACUGGGGUGAAGUCGUAACAAGGUAGCCGUAGGGGAACCCGCGGCUGGAUUACCUCCUUUCU
This 447-nucleotide ribosomal RNA is filed under the name uncultured Pelagibacterales bacterium. Its description in RNAcentral is "bacterial SSU rRNA". It matches the Rfam family "Bacterial small subunit ribosomal RNA", at positions 1069 to 1533 of the family's 1533-position model. The record is from RNAcentral. Lineage: Bacteria; Pseudomonadati; Pseudomonadota; Alphaproteobacteria; Candidatus Pelagibacterales.